CAAAGGUCAUCGCAGGCAGCGUGCGGGAUGCGGCGCUCGGUCUCAUUGCAGUUCAUCCCAUCGGCCUCAGCCCAGCGAUCCAACCCACCCGCACCCUUCCUGAGGGCCCUUCUGCUCCCAGGCCAAUCAACGCUUCCUUCUGAUGCCAUCUGCGUUCCUUCCAGGCCAUUUUCAGACUCCUGCCCCUUUGUGGCCAUUUUGAGAGUUGCUCUGAUUUCAGCAUGUGCAUUCAAUUGACUUCAACCAAAUUGGCUUUAGCUUUACAUUCAAUUGACUUCAACCAAAUUGGCUUUGCUUUACAUUCAAUUAAUGUAAACCAAAUUGGCUUUAGUUUUACAUUCAAUUGACUUCAACCAAAUUGGCUUUAGCUUUACAUUCAAUUAAUGUAAACCAAAUUGGCUUUAGCUUUGCCUUGGUUACGGGGUUGGGCUAGCCUUGCUUUGUUUGUUCCUAGGCAGGGCUACCCCAACCCCGUAACCAAGGGCCGUUGGAGGCGAUUUUGUUCCUUCCCGGCCAGUCUGAGACUCGCGCCCCAUUGCGGCCAUUUUGAGAGUUGUGCUGAUUUCAGCAUGUGCGUUCAAUUUAUCUCAACCGAAUUGGCUUUAGCCUUGCAUUCAAUUGGCUUCAACCAAAUUGGCUUUAGCUUUGCAUUCAAUUGACUUGAACCAAAUUGGCUUUGGUUUUGCAUUCAAUUGGCUUCAACCAAAUUGGCUUUAGCUUUACAUUCGAUUAAUGUAAGCCAAAUUGGCUUUAGCUUUGCCUUGGUUACGGGGUUGGGCUAGCCUUGCUUUGUUUGCUCCUAGGCAGGGCUACCCCAACCCCGUAACCAAGGGCCGUCGGAGGCGAUUUUGUUCCUCCCGGCCAGUCUGAGACUCGCGCCCCUUUGUGGCCGUUCUGAGAAUUGCAAUGUCUUUGGGUGGGCUGAGAUCUGCACUGCUUUUGAGGUGGGUUGCAGUAUGCAACAUUCUCACAAGUGUGGUGUCACUAAUGGGGUGUGGAGGCUUUGUACCCUUUCUCUGGUUGGUCUGACAUCUAUGUGAACCAUGUCUUAAAGUGUACUGCGUAUGCGUGUGCUGCGCCUGUAAAUUGCGUCGUGCCAUAUAUGCAAUAUGUGUUAAGUUGCGCCUGUAAACUGUGUUGUGCCAUGUACAGAAUGUGUGGAUGCUGCGCCUAUAAACUAAGUCUUGGAAUCAGAGAUCCAUAUUCAUUACAUGUUUUGCUUCUCAAUGUGUAGUUGCUGGUAUAGCACGUAUGUAUAUGAUUGUAUGAGUCAUGCCUUGUGGAAACAGCGCUGUAAUAAACAAACAGUUAAACAAU
Tympanuchus pallidicinctus (lesser prairie-chicken) is the source of this 1317-nucleotide long non-coding RNA. RefSeq lists it as uncharacterized. The transcript is spliced from 2 exons. NCBI's taxonomy places the organism in Eukaryota, Metazoa, Chordata, Aves, Galliformes, Phasianidae. The record is from RefSeq and is a predicted model, not a curated record.